GGCAUUUUAUAUUUCUUCAGUUGAGCACUGUGCUGCAUUCUAGAACAGAGCCACUCAAUAGAACUCUCUGUGAUGAUGGAAAUGUUCUUUACUUGAACCAUCCAAUAUGGUAGCCACAAGCCACAGCCACAUGUGUACAUGGGUACUUGAAAUUAAGAACUGACUUCUUAAUUUUAUUUCAUCUUAAUUGAAAUGUAAAUUAAAAAAAACACACAUAGUCAGUGGCUACCAUGUUGGACAGCGCAGCUCCAGAAUGCAAAAGCCCUGCUAGCAUGGUGUGUCGAGUGCUUAGCCAUGCCAGAUGGACAAGUCAUGAGUAGGCCACAUUUGGCUGGAAACAUAUAAGCUGUAUCUGGUGGACUGUGUCAAAGGUCUAAAGUUCAAGGUUUCAGAUAUGGCACCACAGUCACCUGAGACUUGAAGCAAGAGCCGCUCACCUGAUUUGAAACAGUUUGGAUAACAAACCAUUGGGUACUGCUGAAAUGUAUCAGGGAAUUAGUUGUCAUAAAAACAUUCAAAAUGAACAUCCCAAAGUGCCAGCAAGCAGGAAACAGACAUGUCAGUAAGGAAGCAGGGAGUGGCAGGCAUCCUCCAAUGGAGUUAGAGAAAUCCUAAUUGCUCACACCUGCAGAAGCUGUCACUUUUGUAAGGCUCCAUGAUGGCAGAGACCCUACCGAGUGCCGAACAUGUGGCAGGCGCUCCACACACACUUUCGGAAUGAAUGAAUCCACAUAUCAACCACAGGAAAGAGGUAGUGUUAUGGUCUGCAUUUCACACAGCAGGACAUAGAGAUACAAAAAAGAUUCAGUAGCUUGUCCAAGAUUAUAGUGGACGAACUGAGGUUCAAACUGUGUCUUGACCAGAGCUGGGCUCUCAAACAACUGCAAGAGUUGAUCAUCAGCCUUAAAAUAAAAUAUGAACCUUCAACUGUC
Molecule: long non-coding RNA, 932 nt
Organism: Felis catus (domestic cat)
Lineage: Eukaryota; Metazoa; Chordata; Mammalia; Carnivora; Felidae
Exons: 4
Source: RefSeq, a predicted model, not a curated record